Molecule: ribosomal RNA, 429 nt
Filed under: uncultured bacterium
Lineage: Bacteria
Description: bacterial SSU rRNA
Rfam family: Bacterial small subunit ribosomal RNA
Source: RNAcentral
GCCCUCUGGUUGAUCCUGGCGGCAGGCCUAACACAUGCAAGUCGAGCGGUAACAUUUCUAGCUUGCUAGAAGAUGACGAGCGGCGGACGGGUGAGUAAUACUUGGGGAUCUGCCUGAUGGCGGGGGACAACCACUGGAAACGGUGGCUAAUACCGCAUACGCCCUACGGGGGAAAGCAGGGGCUCUUCGGACCUUGCGCUAUCGGAUGAGCCCAUGUCGGAUUAGCUUGUUGGUGAGGUAAUGGCUCACCAAGGCGACGAUCCGUAGCUGGUCUGAGAGGAUGAUCAGCCACAUCGGGACUGAGACACGGCCCGAACUCCUACGGGAGGCAGCAGUGGGGAAUAUUGGACAAUGGGCGCAAGCCUGAUCCAGCCAUGCCGCGUGUGUGAAGAAGGCCUUCGGGUUGUAAAGCACUUUCAGUGGUGAGGA